UACAAUGUUUUACUCUUCGUCUUAUUUAAAAAAUUUUUUGCGAUUAAUAUUUUUAUUCUUACUAGAUGAUAAAACAUGAAUAGUAUUUUAUGCGUGACUAAUUUUUUUAAUUUUUUGUAUAAUUUUUUUAAAUAAGACGAAUGGUCAAACGUUGGACACGGAAAACGA
Molecule: microRNA precursor, 168 nt
Filed under: Oryza brachyantha (malo sina)
Lineage: Eukaryota; Viridiplantae; Streptophyta; Magnoliopsida; Poales; Poaceae
Description: MIR812 microRNA precursor family
Rfam family: MIR812 microRNA precursor family
Source: Rfam by way of RNAcentral